This 344-nucleotide long non-coding RNA is filed under the name Vigna radiata. RNAcentral's name for it is "long non-coding RNA (VRAD_LNC007830)". Lineage: Eukaryota; Viridiplantae; Streptophyta; Magnoliopsida; Fabales; Fabaceae. The record is from RNAcentral.
UUUAUUAUCUAAUUAAAACUUGCUAGAUCUGAGAAACUAAACAGAAAUUCUGGAUAUUUCUUUCUAUCGAAUUGGUAGUACAACAGCAUCAUAACUUUUGUUGUUGUAGUCCUUUGACAUCCUGUUACCAUGUAGAAUCUUUGUAACCUUGGAAGCUGCUUACAGAGAUUAACGGUGCAGGACGUUAAUUCGAUGUUCAGAUGGCUCUUCUGGUCUUCCGGGAAGGAAAGGUGGCCCACUUUGGAUCGUAACUUGGACAAACAUUGAAAGGAUAAGUAAAAGGAGAAAAGCUAGCUUCGUUAUGUAUGAUAUCUUCAUAUCCCUACCCACCACUUCCAGCUAAC